RNAcentral lists this ribosomal RNA (254 nucleotides) under uncultured bacterium. Its description in RNAcentral is "partial 16S ribosomal RNA". It matches the Rfam family "Bacterial small subunit ribosomal RNA", at positions 524 to 776 of the family's 1533-position model. The record is from RNAcentral.
UACAGAGGUGGCAAGCGUUGUUCGGAAUUACUGGGCGUAAAGGGCUCGUAGGCGGCCAACUAAGUCAGACGUGAAAUCCCUCGGCUUAACCGGGGAACUGCGUCUGAUACUGGAUGGCUUGAGUUCGGGAGAGGGAUGCGGAAUUCCAGGUGUAGCGGUGAAAUGCGUAGAUAUCUGGAGGAACACCGGUGGCGAAGGCGGCAUCCUGGACCGAUACUGACGCUGAGUGAGCGAAAGCCAGGGGAGCAAACGGG